UUGCCCUGUUCGUAACCCCUUGACAGCAUAUUCACCCAUAGUGAAUAGGUUCCAUUCCAGUGCUACAUGAAAUCCAAUAAUGGAAGGCUGACAAAUUCCAUGCCCCUUCUGUAUUUGGAGACAAAA
Molecule: small nucleolar RNA, 126 nt
Filed under: Aquila chrysaetos chrysaetos
Lineage: Eukaryota; Metazoa; Chordata; Aves; Accipitriformes; Accipitridae
Source: RNAcentral